This 401-nucleotide ribosomal RNA is filed under the name uncultured bacterium. RNAcentral describes it as "bacterial SSU rRNA". It matches the Rfam family "Bacterial small subunit ribosomal RNA", at positions 356 to 774 of the family's 1533-position model. The record is from RNAcentral.
CGGGAAUUUUGGGCAAUGGGCGAAAGCCUGACCCAGCAACGCCGCGUGAGGGAUGAAGUAUUUCGGUAUGUAAACCUCGAAAGAAUGGGAAGAAUAAAUGACGGUACCAUUUAUAAGCUCCGGCUAACUACGUGCCAGCAGCCGCGGUAAUACGUAGGGAGCAAGCGUUGUUCGGAUUUACUGGGCGUAAAGGGCGCGUAGGCGGCGCGGUAAGUCACUUGUGAAAUCUCUGAGCUUAACUCAGAACGGCCAAGUGAUACUGCUGUGCUAGAGUGCGGAAGAGGCAACCGGAAUUCCUGGUGUAGCGGUGAAAUGCGUAGAUAUCAAGAGGAACACCUGAGGCGAAGGCGGGUUGCUGGGCCGACACUGACGCUGAUGCGCGAAAGCCAGGGGAGCAAACG